Molecule: ribosomal RNA, 247 nt
Filed under: uncultured bacterium
Lineage: Bacteria
Description: partial 16S ribosomal RNA
Rfam family: Bacterial small subunit ribosomal RNA
Source: RNAcentral
GAGUUUGAUCGUGGCUCAGGAUGAACGCUGGCGGCGUGCUUAACACAUGCAAGUCGAACGAAGCACUUGAAUGGAAUUCUUCGGAAGGAAGCUCAAGUGACUGAGUGGCGGACGGGUGAGUAACGCGUGGGUAACCUGCCUCAUACAGGGGGAUAACAGUUAGAAAUGGCUGCUAAUACCGCAUAAGCGCACGGUACUGCAUGGUACAGUGUAGAAAACUCCGGUGGUAUGAGAUGGACCCCGCGUU